CGGGUUUAUAAAGUGGACGUGCGUAUCAAUUCCACCCGCUGUAACGAUAAGACCUUCUCCCGCUAUAAUUUCAGUUGAAGCACCAAUUAUAAUGUCAACAUUGUCCAUAAUGAGUGGAUUACCCGCUUUACCAAUCGCUGCUAUCUUGCCGUCCCGAAUUGCGAUAUCCGCUUUUAAGAUACCUGUAUAAUCCAAUAUGACCGCGUUCGUAAUGACGACAUCAGGCACGCCAUCAGCGCGGGUUGCCAACGGAUGCUGCCCCAUGCCGUCACG
This 273-nucleotide small RNA is filed under the name uncultured Sporosarcina sp. RNAcentral describes it as "5' ureB small RNA". It matches the Rfam family "5' ureB small RNA". The record is from RNAcentral. Lineage: Bacteria; Bacillati; Bacillota; Bacilli; Caryophanales; Caryophanaceae.